Cricetulus griseus (Chinese hamster) is the source of this 295-nucleotide non-coding RNA. NCBI's taxonomy places the organism in Eukaryota, Metazoa, Chordata, Mammalia, Rodentia, Cricetidae. The record is from RefSeq and is a predicted model, not a curated record.
GCUGGUCUUGAAAUCACAGAGAUCUGCUUGUUUUUGCCUCCGGAGUCCUGGGAUUAAAGUUCUGCUUCAGCCAGCCUCUCAUCAGAUGACUUCUGACAUCUGCCAUUUGACAAAAACCUUCCGAUAGCUUUGCUUACUGGCUCCAGUAAAUUUAUCGCCCAAGGAAACUUUUACCUUACAAAUAGAGAUACUCUUCCCUCAAGAUCCGUCAGCCUUCUUCCUCUGCACAUUCUCCUCCUGAUGACUGCAAAAGGGAUUCAGAUUCACUAGAAGAUUUUGGGCCAAGGUUAACAGG